AGAUUGAACGCUGGCGGCAUGCCUUACACAUGCAAGUCGAACGGCAGCACGGGAGCAAUCCUGGUGGCGAGUGGCGAACGGGUGAGUAAUACAUCGGAACGUGCCCAAUCGUGGGGGAUAACGCAGCGAAAGCUGUGCUAAUACCGCAUAAGAUCUGCGGAUGAAAGCAGGGGAUCGCAAGACCUUGCGCGAAUGGAGCGGCCGAUGGCAGAGUUAGGUAGUUGGUGAGGUAAAGGCUCACCAAGCCUUCGAUCUGUAGCUGGUCUGAGAGGACGACCAGCCACACGUGGGACUGAGACCGACGGCCAGACCUCGUACGGGAGGCAGCGAGGUGGGUAAUUUUGGAACAGUGGGACGAAAGUCCUAGAUCCAAGCCAGUCGCCGCGU
RNAcentral lists this ribosomal RNA (387 nucleotides) under uncultured soil bacterium. Its description in RNAcentral is "bacterial SSU rRNA". It matches the Rfam family "Bacterial small subunit ribosomal RNA", at positions 26 to 402 of the family's 1533-position model. The record is from RNAcentral.